CUCCUUCUUUUUUGCGAAUAUAGGGCCCUUCUUCUCCAACGUGCGGCUGACCCGUCCAUUAUCUUCACCUUCGUCCCGAUCGCCUGUGCGUUCUUCAUUGCUGUGGCGACGUGACCUGGUUUGGACGAUGGAUGAUAUUGGCGAAACUGAGGUGAGAGAAGAAUAUAUUACGAUGGUCAGUCAAAUAUUUGAUAGCGAAGAACAAGGUUACAAGCACUACAACAAAUAUGUGAAAGAGAAAGGGUUCAAUGUCAGAUUGGACUAGAAAGAAAAGACGGUUUGUCUGUUCCAAAGAAGGUUACCGUUUGCAGAAGUAUUUUGAAGCAACUGAGCAAAAGAGAGAGACAUGAAGAGUGGUUACAGUUUCUAUUUCCUGCAUGUACGGAGACCUGAAGUUUGGUUUUGCUGUACCGGGCCUUGAAGUUUGGUUACAUGUUCUAUUUCCUGUAAGGAUUGCUUUGUUCUGUAGACAAUAUUGCUUGUGUGUUACUGCGGCUAGUUCAAAAAUAUUGAGUGCAAUUGGCCUUGUGUGCAAUUGGCCUUGUUGCUCUGUUGGUUUUGAUCAUAUUUGUAAUUCAAUUUCUGUAUGCCUGUUGACAACGAAGUGGAUACAGAGAGUGAAGCAAGGGUUUGCGAUUAUGAAA
This is a long non-coding RNA of Lolium rigidum, 644 nucleotides long. RefSeq lists it as uncharacterized. The transcript is spliced from 2 exons. NCBI's taxonomy places the organism in Eukaryota, Viridiplantae, Streptophyta, Magnoliopsida, Poales, Poaceae. The record is from RefSeq and is a predicted model, not a curated record.